AUCUGCCAAAUUGAAGACAUUUUGUUUACUGAUUUGGGAAACUUGAAAAAGCAAUUUAGCAUGCAUAAGCUCACUAAUUUUACGAGCUUAACAGAUACUGAAACAUAUAUGUCAAAGAUAACAUAUUAAGGCUUGUGUAUUUGUUGUCACAAAGUGUAGCAAUAUGCAGAAGCUCCAAAAACUGGAAUAAACAAGAUCCAAUGGUAAUGGUUUCCACAUAGGAUUUGUAAAUGUAUGUAAAAGCCAGAAAACAGCACUAUAUUAGGGCAACAUCCAUAGACACCAAGUGGACGUAUCAAACGGUGACACGUGGCGAUGGCGACAGAUCAAAUCCGAGUUCGCGAACGAGGGAUUCCGGGAAAGCAUACGAAGCUCCGGAUAAGUAAUUUGGUAACCCGCUUCCGGAGGCAGAAACUACAAAGGGUCCGUAGGAGCGUGCCAACUCACCAGUCAAACGCCAUUCGGUGCCCAGCCGUUACAUCAAGACCCCCAAUUUCCUGCAGCCUUUAUUAGGCUUUAUCGCCUUUUAUUGCAACAUUAAUAUUGGUAAUUGAGGGGGCACGAUUCAUGAAAUCUAUACCCCAUAGCUCUAGCAUAAAUAGAGGUACUCGUUGUAUUGUAAGACAUCUGAAACAUUAUAUAACAAAACAGAGUAUUCAUAUUA
Lycium ferocissimum is the source of this 664-nucleotide long non-coding RNA. RefSeq lists it as uncharacterized. The record is from RefSeq and is a predicted model, not a curated record. The transcript has 2 exons. NCBI's taxonomy places the organism in Eukaryota, Viridiplantae, Streptophyta, Magnoliopsida, Solanales, Solanaceae.